AUGCGUUACUUGUACAUUCUGGUUCCAACGCGCCUCGUCCGCGCUCAUCUGCCAACUGCUUGCAAGGGUGUGUCAGCC
This 78-nucleotide small RNA is filed under the name Xanthomonas populi. RNAcentral describes it as "sX9 sRNA". It matches the Rfam family "Xanthomonas sRNA sX9". Lineage: Bacteria; Pseudomonadati; Pseudomonadota; Gammaproteobacteria; Lysobacterales; Lysobacteraceae. The record is from RNAcentral.